This is a long non-coding RNA of Raphanus sativus (radish), 999 nucleotides long. RefSeq lists it as uncharacterized. The record is from RefSeq and is a predicted model, not a curated record. Lineage: Eukaryota; Viridiplantae; Streptophyta; Magnoliopsida; Brassicales; Brassicaceae. The transcript has 5 exons.
GGGUUAUUACGAGUGUGAUUUCGUGGGAUUGGUAUUUUGUUAUUUGGGCUCAUAAAAUAAACAAAAACUAAGCUGACAUUGACCUUCGUCUUCCUCAACAUUGGCGACCAAAUGAUUUCUAAGAUUCGAGCCGAUUAGGUCAACCGACAAUGGUGUUUUUGGAAGGUUGUGAGAGACAAAUCUUCUUUAGGAAUCUCUGGGUCGAGCUCCGUUCGUGUCGGUUCAUCUGCGAUUCAUCUCCUCUGAAACGUUACGGGAUGCAUGCUUCUUAUCUCUUUUAGAGACGGUGGAUCUCCACCUAUAAAAGUUUGUUGCAGGCUUAUCUUUCUCGAGUACAGAAGAGACAUUAACCCUAGCAUUUUCUCAAUAUGGCCGAGUACUUGCAGUGGAUGGUGUAAUGGAUGAUGUCAAAUGAAGGCAAGGGUUUGCUUAUGUCACAUUCUCUUUCUAAAGAAGAAGCUGUGAAAGCUUUAUUAGAACUAAACGGAAAGUUGGUAGACGGGCGGGUUGUGAUCCGUGACACAACAAAAGUUGUAAAACAGAAUCGACCCUUCCAUAUCAAAGACCUCAACAAAAUUCUCGCUCGAUCUGUGGCCGUUUUUUCUUGGUUUUGGAUCCAUCGGGAUGGGUUGAUUAGUCAUUGGUCAAGAAUGGGUGUGCUCUAAAAAGAAACAGAGGAAGCUAAAGAGUAGCCCAUACUGCUCCAAACACAGACCUAACUCUCACGGCUUGCUCUCCUGAUCCUUGGAGAUGAGGUUCAAUGCGGAAGGACGAGAAACCCACCAUGAUCUCUCAUGAGAUUCCAAUGUCCCGCAAUAGCUCAUACAGACAAGCUUUUCUAAAUGGUGACUUUUUUACUUACCAAAGUCUAAAAGAUUAUUGGCUUGAUGAUGGAAGUAAUAUGUGAGAGCAAAUCAUUAUGAAAAGUUGUCAACCUUUUCUCUGUUGUUUGAUCGUGAGUACCACUGUACAAGGAUCUAUGGUGUGUAUUAGAAUAUG